This 430-nucleotide ribosomal RNA is filed under the name uncultured bacterium. Its description in RNAcentral is "partial 16S ribosomal RNA". It matches the Rfam family "Bacterial small subunit ribosomal RNA", at positions 29 to 506 of the family's 1533-position model. The record is from RNAcentral.
AGCGAACGCUGGCGGCAGGCUUAACACAUGCAAGUCGAGCGCCCCGCACGGGGAGCGGCAGACGGGAGAGUAGCACGUGGGGACAUACACUUUUGUUUGACACAACUGAGGGAAACUUCAGCCAAUACCGGAUAAGCCCUAACGGGGGAAGAUUUAUCGCCGUAAGAUUGGCCCGCGUCUGAUUAGCUAGUGGGGGAGGUAACGGCUCACCACGGCGACGAGCAGUAGCUGGACUGAGAGGAUGAUCAGCCUCACUGGGACUGGGACACGGCCCAGACCCCUACGAGAGGCAGCAGUGGGGAAUAUUGGACAAUGGGGGCAACCCUGAUCCAGCCAGGCCGCGUGAGUGAUGAAGGCCUUAGGGUUGUAAAGCUCUUUUGCCCGGGAAGACAAUGACGGUACCGGGAGAAUAAGCCCCGGCUAACUUCGU